RNAcentral lists this long non-coding RNA (2540 nucleotides) under Gossypium barbadense (sea-island cotton). RNAcentral's name for it is "long non-coding RNA (GBAR_LNC018460)". Lineage: Eukaryota; Viridiplantae; Streptophyta; Magnoliopsida; Malvales; Malvaceae. The record is from RNAcentral.
ACACCAUAUUUUAAAAAAAUACAUGAUAUUUUAUUCUAUGGCAUUCUCAAGUACACUUUAAACAAAUGAAAAAUAAAGCACAUAUAUUUCAACAUCAUUGCAUAUAUAUAUAACUGUACAGUAACAUUGCAUUAAUUGUAAAAGACAAUGGAGGUUGUAGCAUUGAUUGGUACAACAAGUCAUUACUGAAUUCGAAUGUUUGGAAUGUGAGCGAUCUUUUGGAGGUUGUAGCAUUGAUUGGUACAACAAGUCAUUACUGAAUUCGAAUGUUUGGAAUGUGAGCGAUCUUGGGCCAUUCCGAGCCACUCUCCUUGGUGCAAUUUUCCUUUAAUUGGGGACACUUGUUGAUUUCAAGUCUCUGCAAUUUGGAUAGUCGUUUCAUGGCGUCCAAAGAAGGAAAGUGCAUCAAGUUGUUGCAGUUCCAAAUCUGAAGUCGUUGAAGAGAUGAGAAGUUCCCCAACCACUCUGGCAAUACUUGAACUCCAUUGAAGUUCCACAGUUCAAGAGACUUGAGGGAAGCAAGGUGCUGAAGCUGAGAUGGAAUCGACUUGAGAUUUUUCCAUCCAUAUAGUUCCAAAUAUUCUAGGGAUGCAUGGAGAUGGUGGAGUGAAGUGAGACCUUCAAAUUCCUCAAGCUGUUCUGAGAAUCCACCUAUAUGCAAUGUCUCAAGGUUGGUGAGGCAACCUAGGAUCUCUCCUGGAAGGCAAGUCAGCUUCUGGCAAGAUGUAAUUGAUAGAAAAAUAAGAGAACGCAGUUCCCCUACAUCUUGUGGAACAAAGCUCAGACUGGGGCAAUUGUGGAUGUUCAAAUUUCCAAGAGAUGCACAUGAUUCUAUCCCACUAGGCAGACAUGACAACCUUUCACAAUCCUUGAUGGUUAGAUCUGUAAGAGAAGAGAAGCCUUGUAUGCUUGGCAUGAAUCUCAAAUUCGGACAGUCGCAUAUUCUUAACUCUUUGAGACACGUAGAUAGCCCUUCCAUAGUUGGUAUAGAUCCUAAAUUCAGACAAGCUUGGAUAUGUACUUCUUUAAGACGAGAGGAGGCAGAUAGUCCAUCCCCUAAAGUACUUAUUUCACUGCAAUACGAAACUUGGAGCACCUGAAGAGAUGGAAGUUUUCUCUGUAUCGGGUCACUUUUUAACUUGGGACACCCGGAAACAAUCAACUCCUCAAGGCAAGGAAAUGCAGCCACACCUUCUCGCUCUAUUAUCACUGAAUCCAAAUCAUCUACCCAUUCUUCCAGGCUCUCCAUUUCCACUAAGAUAAAUCUUCUCAAAGCUGGAAAUGAUGUGGUUGCCUCACCCUGACCAUUGAAAUAAAAUUCACGACCUAUCCUCUUCACCUUCUUCAUUUCAUCGAUUUCAAGCACAGUUAGAUUACAUAAUUGGCCGAGACAUGGAAGAUUAAGGCAUUCCCUGCAAUUGAUUAGUUUUAACUUCACCAAAUUGUUGAGUGGAAAUGGGAGAUUAGAACCAUGUACACUACUUGACAGCCACGAAGGUAAGUCAUCUCCCCAAUAAUUCACAAUGGUUAGACCUUUCAGAUUCGAGCAAGGCUUGAGCCCUUCCAGUACUUCCUUAUCAUUUAUGGGGCAUUCUCUUUUGUAGCUCCAUUUCAGUUUUAGCUUGUACAAUUUGGUCUUUGCUUCCAUGUUUGCUCUGCUGGCUUCUGCAUUAUCUUUUACAUCUUCAAGGUUGCAUAUCUUCAAUUUUCCUCUAAGCUGGCUUAAGCAUCCAAGUUCGCUAACCAGGCAUCCCUUUUCCAUGUCCACAAAGAAGAAUGGCAACGUUUGAAGACAAGUCAAGCGUCCAAUAUCAACUGGCAUUAACUUUUCAAGAUCAAAAUAGAUAUGCCUCAGGCUAACUAGAUUUCUCAUUCCUUUAGGAAGAUGUUCUAGAGAACACUUCAAAAGUCUCAAGGUCUGCAAAUUAUAAAGCUGAGUGAAGGACUCUGGUAGUUUGGUGAUAUUAGUUGCUGAGAUGUCAAAGAAUCUUAAAUGCUUUAAUUUGCCCAAGGAACCUGGCAGUUUUUUUAUGUGAACUCCAGUUAAUUUUAGAGUCCUUAAGCUUUUGAGAUUUCCUGGAAACCUGCAAAAAAUGUCGACAUUCAAAAACAAAGAGUGCAACUUGUGUGCAGCAUGUUCUAAAAUGGUUGGCACCGAUUCCCCAUAAAAGACAACACUCAUAUGUCAAAUACAAGAAGUAUCAACCAUGGAGUUGUUAUACAAAACCUUGGUUUCUUCUUUCGAUACAAACACUGCAAGAUCAUGCACUAAAUCAUGCAUCUUACAAACUUCAAUGUUCCCAUAGGCAUCCCUUUCCACAUCUUGGAACAAGGAAUUUGAUAAGAGAGCUUUAAAUUGCAUAUUACCAAUAUCCUCCAUGGCCAUAUUCCCUUCUUUGGAUGGAUCAAGAAAUCCAUUGGCCAUCCAAAGCUGAAUCAACUGCUCCCGUUCGAUGUAAACAUCCCUGGAAAAAUUUGAACAGUAUGCAAAACACCGCUUCAAAGACGGUGAAGGCAGGCGAUCGAAGCUUAACUUUAUG